AAGCAGAUUAACACGACGACAGCUGAUAGCACGUCAGAGACACGCUGACGAAACGAUCGUUCGUAUUGUAACGUAAUGUUUUAUAUCACAAAGUUUGAGGAGAAGAAGGGAGGCCUGUGACCUUCGGGCAUGGAGGACCACGAGAUUCAGGAGCUGGUGAACUUCAAUGAUGACGUCAUCGUUGGAGCCGACCUUGCUUCCUCCUCCUCAUCCGACAGUUGCAUCCUGUACGAGAUGUAUGAUAAGCUAUAAUAAACUCAUAAGAGUAAUCCCCAAGGAGGUCAAGCGAUAACCCCCGUAAGAAGAAGCACCACUCCGACAUCUUGGAUAUGCGGACGUUCACCACUAUUGGUUUACUGCAUCGGUCAAUGAGACUUCGAUUUGGCACCUUUUGUCAAUCUUUUGACAACGUUCAUUGCGAUUGUCUGGCUUAAAAAAGAAAUAAAAAAAAAAGAAAAAAAAGAAAAACAAAAAAAAAAAGAAGAAGAAAAAUAAAUGAAUAAAAAAUGAAAAUAUAAAAGGAAAAAAGAGUAAAAAGAGAA
This is a long non-coding RNA of Vespa velutina, 542 nucleotides long. RefSeq lists it as uncharacterized. NCBI's taxonomy places the organism in Eukaryota, Metazoa, Arthropoda, Insecta, Hymenoptera, Vespidae. The transcript is spliced from 3 exons. The record is from RefSeq and is a predicted model, not a curated record.